UUCUUUGGCACUGAGUACUCUAGUGAUGGCGCAAACCAAGCGUCAUACAGAAACAACCUUAAAAGGGAAUGAGGUUUCUGUAUCACGCGUUUAUUAAAGUGCCAACACAGGACAGGAAGCAGAAGUAGAGUAUUGAGUGCCAAAGAAAUCUUAGCGGCGGACGGGUGAGUAACACGUGGGCAACCUGCCUCAAAGAGGGGGAUAACACCGGGAAAUCGGUGCUAAUACCGCAUAAAGUCAUAUUACUGCAUGGUGAUAUGAUCAAAGGAGCAAUCCGCUUUGAGAUGGGCCCGCGGCUGAUUAGCUAGUUGGUGAGGUAACGGCUCACCAAGGCGACGAUCAGUAGCCGACCUGAGAGGGUGACCGGCCACACUGGAACUGAGACACGGUCCAGACUCCUACGGGAGGCAGCAGUGGGGAAUAUUGCGCAAUGGGGGAAACCCUGACGCAGCAACGCCGCGUGGAGGAAGAAGGUCUUCGGAUUGUAAACUCCUGUCUUCCGGGACGAUAAUGACGGUACCGGAGGAGGAAGCCACGGCUAACUACGUGCCAGCAGCCGCGGUAAUACGUAGGUGGCGAGCGUUGUCCGGAAUUACUGGGCGUAAAGGGCGCGUAGGCGGCUCUUUAAGUUAGAUGUGAAAACCCAGGGCUUAACUCUGGGAGUGCAUUUAAAACUGAAGGGCUCGAGUGCAGGAGAGGUAAGUGGAAUUCCUAGUGUAGCGGUGAAAUGCGUAGAUAUUAGGAGGAACACCAGUGGCGAAGGCGACUUACUGGACUGUAACUGACGCUGAGGCGCGAAAGCGUGGGGAGCAAACAGGAUUAGAUACCCUGGUAGUCCACGCUGUAAACGAUGGAUACUAGGUGUGGGAGGUAUCGACCCCUUCCGUGCCGCAGUAAACGCAAUAAGUAUCCCGCCUGGGGAGUACGGCCGCAAGGUUGAAACUCAAAGGAAUUGACGGGGGCCCGCACAAGCAGCGGAGCAUGUGGUUUAAUUCGAAGCAACGCGAAGAACCUUACCAGGACUUGACAUCGUGUGAAUUACCCGUAAUGGGGGAAGUCCUUCGGGACAGAUAGACAGGUGGUGCAUGGUUGUCGUCAGCUCGUGUCGUGAGAUGUUGGGUUAAGUCCCGCAUCGAGCGCAACCCCUAUUGCUAGUUGCCAUCAUUAAGUUGGGCACUCUAGUGAGACUGCCGGAGACAAUUCGGAGGAAGGUGGGGAUGACGUCAAAUCAUCAUGCCCCUUAUGUUCUGGGCUACACACGUGCUACAAUGGGUGUAACAACGGGAAGCAAGCUGGUGACAGCAAGCCAAUCCCUGAAAAGCACG
Molecule: ribosomal RNA, 1325 nt
Filed under: uncultured bacterium
Lineage: Bacteria
Description: bacterial SSU rRNA
Rfam family: Bacterial small subunit ribosomal RNA
Source: RNAcentral